This 649-nucleotide ribosomal RNA is filed under the name uncultured bacterium. Its description in RNAcentral is "bacterial SSU rRNA". It matches the Rfam family "Bacterial small subunit ribosomal RNA", at positions 8 to 631 of the family's 1533-position model. The record is from RNAcentral.
ACAGUUUGAUCCUGGCUCAGAACGAACGCUGGCGGAGUGCUUAACACAUGCAAGUCCAACCAGAAAGUCUCUUCCGAGAUGAGUAAAGUGGCGAACGGGUGAGUAACACGUAGGUAACCUGCCUCCAAGACCGGGAUAACCUGUUGAAAGAUGGACUAAUACCUGGAUAAGACCACAGGGGCUUCGGCCCUAGUGGCCAAAGGGUGGCCACUGCAUGCAAGCUAUUGCUUGGAGAUGGGCCUGCGGACCAUUAGCUAGUUGGUAGGGUAACGGCCUACCAAGGCAAAGAUGGUUAGCUGGUCUGAGAGGAUGAUCAGCCACACUGGGACUGAGACACGGCCCACACUCCUACGGGAGGCAGCAGUGGGGAAUCUUGGGCAAUGGGCGAAAGCCUGACCCAGCAACGCCGCGUGGGUGAUGAAGGCCCUCCGGUCGUAAAGCCCUGUCCGGAGGAACGAAUUCUCCUGGGGUUAAUACCCCCAGGAAGUGACGGUACCUUCAAAGGAAGCACCGGCUAACUCCGUGCCAACAGCCGCGGUAAGACGGAGGGUGCUAGCCUUGUUCCGAAUUAUUGGGCGUAAAGGGCGUGUACGCCGCUUGUUAAGUCUUGCGUGAAAGCCUUCGGCUCCACCGAGGAAGGGCGUAUGAA